RNAcentral lists this long non-coding RNA (515 nucleotides) under Rattus norvegicus (Norway rat). RNAcentral describes it as "long non-coding RNA NONRATT008323". The record is from RNAcentral. Lineage: Eukaryota; Metazoa; Chordata; Mammalia; Rodentia; Muridae.
UCUCACGGUGGUUGCUUCGUGCCUCUCGGUCUCACUGGCUCCUUUGAGGUCAUGCCUGGGUUCAGGCUAAAUGAAGUAGUUGUCAGUAGGUACGUCAAAGUCAGGGAGCAUCAAGGGCACUUGACUGAGAACUGGUUUGCCAGGCUUCCCCGGCCUUUACCACAGUGCUUCCUCCAGGCCUGUACCAUGAACUCUAUCUCCCUUUGUCUUCAUAUACUCUUGUGUUUGACCAUUGUAUGUCAGGCUGUGCCCCUGUACCCAAGGUCACGCAGUAGAGUAGCUGGAACAUUGCUAGUGAGUGAAGAGUGUCUCAUUAGUGACGGUCGUGGUACAACAGCUUCCAAACCUCUCUGAGGAGGGUGCCCCUUCCUGGAGAGGAUCAAAUCUGGGAGGAUUUUCCAAGACUACAGUGCAACAUGGAUCCCUGCUUCAAACCCUCGUUAAUUUUUCUGACCCUGUGUUGGAUAGGCAGCAAGGAAGCUGCAAGCGGGCUCUAUUUUCUGGUGCUUUCCCCA